This 289-nucleotide long non-coding RNA is filed under the name Gossypium raimondii (Peruvian cotton). RNAcentral's name for it is "long non-coding RNA (GRAI_LNC006410)". The record is from RNAcentral. Lineage: Eukaryota; Viridiplantae; Streptophyta; Magnoliopsida; Malvales; Malvaceae.
CUCCAUCAUCUUUGUUUUUGCAUGAAUCGCUUCGCUCCCUCUUUGAUACCGAACUCCAUGGUUCAAAUAUGAAAUCUGGAACUCAGGCACAAAAAUAAACGAGUCAUUGUAUAUUUUCGUAAGAGUGCUUCUCAUUGAGUCAUCCCGUAUUUUUGAAUAUCUCUAGUAAGAUUGUUGUUGCCACUGCAUAUGUUGCAUUAUGUCCAUCAACUUUGAAAGCUCAUCUCGAAGAUCUGGGCGAGGCGAUUGAGUUUGAUCAUUGAAGUUGCGACGUCAGGUUUGAUUACUA